This 80-nucleotide transfer RNA is filed under the name Sodalis sp. TME1. RNAcentral's name for it is "tRNA-OTHER". It matches the Rfam family "tRNA". Rfam says of the family: Transfer RNA (tRNA) molecules are approximately 80 nucleotides in length. Lineage: Bacteria; Pseudomonadati; Pseudomonadota; Gammaproteobacteria; Enterobacterales; Bruguierivoracaceae. The record is from RNAcentral.
GGGUCGGUAGCUCAGUGUGGAAGAGCGUACGUGUUACUAAAACCGUAAGGACGCGGGUUCAAAUCCUGCUCGACCCUCCA